This 253-nucleotide ribosomal RNA is filed under the name uncultured microorganism. RNAcentral describes it as "partial small subunit ribosomal RNA". It matches the Rfam family "Bacterial small subunit ribosomal RNA", at positions 524 to 776 of the family's 1533-position model. The record is from RNAcentral.
UACGUAGGUGGCAAGCGUUGUCCGGAAUUAUUGGGCGUAAAGCGCGCGUAGGCGGGACUGUAAGUCUGUUGUGAAAUUGCGGGGCUCAACCCCGUAUUGGCAAUGGAAACUAUAGUUCUUGAGUGCAGGAGAGGAAAGCGGAAUUCCCAGUGUAGCGGUGAAAUGCGUAGAUAUUGGGAGGAACACCAGUGGCGAAGGCGGCUUUCUGGACUGUGUCUGACGCUGAGGAGCGAAAGCCAGGGGAGCGAACGGG